CCUACGGGAGGCAGCAGUGGGGAAUAUUGGGCAAUGGGCGCAAGCCUGACCCAGCAACGCCGCGUGAAGGAAGAAGGCUUUCGGGUUGUAAACUUCUUUUCUCAGGGACGAAGAAAGUGACGGUACCUGAGGAAUAAGCCACGGCUAACUACGUGCCAGCAGCCGCGGUAAUACGUAGGUGGCAAGCGUUAUCCGGAUUUACUGGGUGUAAAGGGCGUGUAGGCGGGAAAGCAAGUCAGAUGUGAAAACCAUGGGCUCAACCUGUGGCCUGCAUUUGAAACUGUUUUUCUUGAGUACUGGAGAGGCAGACGGAAUUCCUAGUGUAGCGGUGAAAUGCGUAGAUAUUAGGAGGAACACCAGUGGCGAAGGCGGUCUGCUGGACAGCGACUGACGCUGAGGCGCGAAAGCGUGGGGAGCAAACAGGAUUAGAUACCCCAGUAGUC
This 443-nucleotide ribosomal RNA is filed under the name uncultured bacterium. Its description in RNAcentral is "partial 16S ribosomal RNA". It matches the Rfam family "Bacterial small subunit ribosomal RNA", at positions 338 to 795 of the family's 1533-position model. The record is from RNAcentral.